CCAAUAGCGUAUAUUAAAGUUGUUGCAGUUAAAAAGCUCGUAGUUGAAUUUCGGGAUUAGUACGCUGGUCAUGCCUUUGGUAUGUACUGGUGUUACUGAUUCCUACCUUCUGAAGAACCGUUAUGUCAUUCAUUUGGUGUGGCGGGGAAUCAGGACUGUCACUUUGAAAAAAUUAGAGUGUUUAAAGCAGGCUCGCGCUUGAAUACAUUAGCAUGGAAUAAUGAAAUAGGACGUUGAUCCUAUUUUGUUGGUUUCUAGGAUUGACGUAAUGAUUAAUAGGGAUAGUUGGGGGCAUUAGUAUUCAAUUGGCAGAGGUGAAAUUCUUUGAUUUAGUGAAGACUAACUACUGCGAAAGCAUUUGCCAAGGAAGUUUUCAUUAAUCAAGAACGAAAGUUAGGGGAUCGAAGACGAUCAGAUACCGUCGUAGUCUUAACCAUAAACUAUGCCGACUAGGGAUCGGAUGAUUUUAAUUUUUUAAUGACUCAUUCGGCGCCUUACG
RNAcentral lists this ribosomal RNA (499 nucleotides) under uncultured Glomeromycotina. Its description in RNAcentral is "partial small subunit ribosomal RNA". It matches the Rfam family "Eukaryotic small subunit ribosomal RNA", at positions 591 to 1092 of the family's 1831-position model. The record is from RNAcentral. Lineage: Eukaryota; Fungi; Glomeromycota.